UGGGGGUUAGUUUAAAAAAAAUUUUUGAUUUCGACUCAACAGACCCUGAGCCAAACCAGGACCCCUAAC
Molecule: transfer RNA, 69 nt
Filed under: Acanthodactylus guineensis (Guinea fringe-fingered lizard)
Lineage: Eukaryota; Metazoa; Chordata; Lepidosauria; Squamata; Lacertidae
Description: tRNA-Arg
Source: RNAcentral